GGCUCAGAACGAACGCGGGCGGCGUGCCUAACAGAUGCAAGUCUAGCGAGAAAGUCUCCGCACGGGGGCGAGUAAAGCGGCGCACGGGUGCGUAACACGUGGAUAACCUGCCUUGGAGUCCGGAACAACCUUCCGAAAGGAGGGCUAAUACCGGAUAAGACCACGGGGACCUUGGUUCCUGAGGUAAAAAGACGGCCUCUGUAUACAAGCUGUCACUUCUAGAGGGGUCCGCGGCCCAUCAGCUAGUUGGCGGGGUAACAGCCCACCAAGGCAACGACGGGUAGCUGGUCUGAGAGGACGAUCAGCCACACUGGAACUGAGACACGGUCCAGACUCCUACGGGAGGCAGCAGUGGGGAAUUUUGCGCAAUGGGCGAAAGCCUGACGCAGCAACGCCGCGUGAGUGAUGAAGGUCUUCGGAUCGUAAAGCUCUUUCGGCCGGGACGAAAACGUCGGAGCGAAUAGCUCCGGCCUUGACGGUACCGGAAGAAGAAGCACCGGCUAACUCUGUGCCAGCAGCCGCGGUAAUACAGAGGGUGCAAGCGUUGUUCGGAAUUAUUGGGCGUAAAGCGCGUGUAGGCGGCGACGCAUGUCGGGUGUGAAAGCCCUCGGUUUAACCGAGGAAGUGCGCCCGAAACUGCGUUGCUCGAGUGCUGGAGAGGGUAGCGGAAUUCCCGGUGUAGAGGUGAAAUUCGUAGAUAUCGGGAGGAACACCAGUGGUGAAGGCGGCUACCUGGACGGACACUGACGCUGAGACGCGAAAGCGUGGGGAGUAAACAGGAUUAGAUAUCCUGGUAGUCCACGCUGUAAACGAUGGGAACUAGGUGUGGCGGGUGUUGACCCCUGCCGUGCCGAAGCUAAUGCAUUAAGUUCCCCGCCU
Molecule: ribosomal RNA, 879 nt
Filed under: uncultured bacterium
Lineage: Bacteria
Description: bacterial SSU rRNA
Rfam family: Bacterial small subunit ribosomal RNA
Source: RNAcentral